RNAcentral lists this unclassified non-coding RNA (608 nucleotides) under Bartonella henselae. RNAcentral's name for it is "partial 16S-23S ribosomal RNA intergenic spacer". The stretch from base 122 to 195 matches the Rfam family "tRNA". The record is from RNAcentral. Lineage: Bacteria; Pseudomonadati; Pseudomonadota; Alphaproteobacteria; Hyphomicrobiales; Bartonellaceae.
CCAAGCCUUCUGGCGAUCUAGACAAAACAAGUCCACCGUGGGCUUUGAAAAACGCUUUCCUUGAUAAAAUUUAAGCGUUUUAUAAGAGGAUGCCGGGGAAGGUUUUCCGGUUUAUCCCGGAGGGCUUGUAGCUCAGUUGGUUAGAGCGCGCGCUUGAUAAGCGUGAGGUCGGAGGUUCAAGUCCUCCCAGGCCCACCAGUUUAUCCAUUACUUUCAUAAGUGCUUUUAAAAAAUAAGUACUUCUAAAAAGAUUGCUUCUAAAAAGCUUAUCAAAAUUGGCAGGCUUAUUGCUUUUGUGUGAGUAAUCCAAAGUUAAAGCAAAUUAAUGGCAAAAAAACAGUUCAAAUGCUAAAUACUAAGGAGUCAAAAUUCCUUGCAAAGUGAUUUUUACAGCGUCCAUUUGGUUGAUAUAAAUUCCAAAUGCUCAUAGACGUCAAUGCCUAUAUGAAACUAUCGGUUCAAUCAUAUCGCUUUGAGUUAUAUAGAUUUUGUAAUCCCUCUUUUGAUCGUUUUAAACGCUUUAUUCUGAUUUAGGGGCCGUAGCUCAGCUGGGAGAGCACCUGCUUUGCAAGCAGGGGGUCGUCGGUUCGAUCCCGUCCGGCUCCACC